UCCCUGGUGGAUUAGUGGCUAGCAUGUGGUGCUCUCAUCACUGCGGUCUGGGUUUGAUUCCUGGUCAGGGAA
Non-coding RNA from Pangasius djambal, 72 nucleotides. Lineage: Eukaryota; Metazoa; Chordata; Actinopteri; Siluriformes; Pangasiidae. The record is from the annotation of a GenBank genome assembly.